This 1302-nucleotide long non-coding RNA is filed under the name Marmota monax (woodchuck). Lineage: Eukaryota; Metazoa; Chordata; Mammalia; Rodentia; Sciuridae. The record is from RNAcentral.
GUUUUGUGUUAUGCUUAUCUGAUGCUUGUAGUAGAAAGGGGCUUUUUAUUUUGUUAAAAUACUUUCCAGAUGGACCUGAUGUCUUUCUUGUGAAUGUGUCCUUCCAAAAGCCUUUUCCAUUUCUUUUUUAUCUCCCUAGACAUUUCUUGGCCCCUUCCCCAGUCUUUUACUUCCUCUAUUUUUUUUUUUUUGUGUGUGUGUGUGUGCUUGUCUGUUGUGUGUUUGAAUUGCAAGAAAAUAUUCAAAGGGUAAUCUUUAUGCAACAGCUCUGACCCCCAGGCCUGGAAGGGCUUCUAGAAAAAAAGAGGAGGGCACAGGAUGGCAAAAGGGGGUGGAUCCUGCUGGAUGGUACAGAGCUCCUGGAAUAGUAAUCUUGUGUGUAAUAUUCAGACAGGUAUUACUGCCAAGGUGAACACUGAGUUCUGUUUGAAGGGGAAAAGUGGAAAAAAAAGAUUGGUCACUUGUAAAAUGGAGAUAAAAUGAUGAAUUUUAUUGGGAAGAACAGUUCGAAGACUUUAUUCUCUAAAAAGGAAGAGAGUGGCACUGACUUCACGAGUUUCUCUUCUUCCCCAGACCCCGACAUAUAAGCAGCCUCUUCUCCCCAGAAUCCCACAUGACACAAGAGUAACAAGUCAGCAUUCAAAGAUGUUUGGGUGAUUUGAAUCUCAGAGGGAUAAAAUGAUGACAUACAAACAUUCUUGAUAAUAGGGAAAAAGAAAAUAAAAUUGAUGGGUGCCACCCUUUAACAGAAUUCAUUCAUUUUUGAGUUGGAAUGAGCAAAUCUAGAGGCCUAGCUAGCACUUUGAGUUUCUCAGAGAAUUUCCUGGGCAAGGGUAAGAUAUUAUUGGCAUCACCAUCACAUUGGGCAAUACUAAGCAUUGUACAUUAUUUUACUUGAGUUAAAAUACCCAUAACAUAAAAUUUACCAUCUUAACUAGCAAGCAUGCUGUUCAGCAGCAUUAAUAUUCACAUGGUUGUAUAGUCAACCUCCAGAAUUUUUCCAUCUUACAAAACUGAAACUCUGUAUCCAUUAAACAACUUCCUAUUUUCCCUUUCUUACCAGCCCCUGGCAACACCAUGCUACUUUCUGUUUCUACAAAUUCAACUUCUCUAGGUACCUCAGUUAAGUGGAAUCCGUACAGUAUUUGUCUUCCUGUGACUUCCUUUUUUCACUUAGCUUAAUGUCAUUAAGGCUCCUCCACAUCGUAGCAUAUUGGAAUUUGUUUCUUUUUUAAGGUCAGAUAUCCCACUUAUAUAUAUGUCACAUGUUCUUCAUUCACUAAUCCAUCAAUAACAUUUGGU